Molecule: ribosomal RNA, 426 nt
Filed under: uncultured prokaryote
Description: bacterial SSU rRNA
Rfam family: Bacterial small subunit ribosomal RNA
Source: RNAcentral
UGGGGAAUUUUCCGCAAUGGGCGCAAGCCUGACGGAGCAAUACCGCGUGAGGGAGGAAGGCUUUUGGGCUGUAAACUUCUUUUCUCUAGGAAGAAGGACUGACGGUACUAGAGGAAUCAGCAUCGGCUAACUCCGUGCCAGCAGCCGCGGUAAGACGGAGGAUGCAAGCGUUAUCCGGAAUUAUUGGGCGUAAAGCGUCCGCAGGUGGCACUUCAAGUCUGCUGUCAAAGACCAGAGCUCAACUCUGGGCAGGCGGUGGAAACUGGGGAGCUAGAGUACGGUAGGGGUAGAGGGAAUUUCCAGUGUAGCGGUGAAAUGCGUAGAGAUUGGAAAGAACACCAGUGGCGAAGGCGCUCUACUGGACCUGUACUGACACUAAGGGACGAAAGCUAGGGGAGCGAAAGGGAUUAGAUACCCCUGUAGUCC